This 83-nucleotide ribosomal RNA is filed under the name Macrococcus lamae. RNAcentral describes it as "Bacterial small subunit ribosomal RNA". It matches the Rfam family "Bacterial small subunit ribosomal RNA", at positions 1 to 83 of the family's 1533-position model. Lineage: Bacteria; Bacillati; Bacillota; Bacilli; Caryophanales; Staphylococcaceae. The record is from Rfam by way of RNAcentral.
AUUAUGGAGAGUUUGAUCCUGGCUCAGGAUGAACGCUGGCGGCGUGCCUAAUACAUGCAAGUCGAGCGGACAGACGGGAGUGC